This 231-nucleotide long non-coding RNA is filed under the name Elaeis guineensis (African oil palm). Its description in RNAcentral is "long non-coding RNA (EGUI_LNC032234)". The record is from RNAcentral. Lineage: Eukaryota; Viridiplantae; Streptophyta; Magnoliopsida; Arecales; Arecaceae.
AAGUCUUGGAUCGAUGGAGUACUGUCCUGAUUGGUUGGUCGGUAAGAAUGCCAAUAGUAUGUGCUUGAAAGUAUGGGUGCAAUUAUUUUGAGAAGAUUAUAAGGGCAUAAACCAUCUUUUCCAGCUUCAUGUAUCUGACCUCCACAUUAUGAAGGAUCCAGCUCGCAUAGUACACGGGCUUCUGCACCUUGGCUUUCUGUUGGAUGAGGACUGAGCUGAUUGCUAGAGGUG